RNAcentral lists this ribosomal RNA (241 nucleotides) under uncultured Anoxybacillus sp. RNAcentral describes it as "partial 16S ribosomal RNA". It matches the Rfam family "Bacterial small subunit ribosomal RNA", at positions 1142 to 1382 of the family's 1533-position model. The record is from RNAcentral. Lineage: Bacteria; Bacillati; Bacillota; Bacilli; Caryophanales; Anoxybacillaceae.
AAGGUGACUGCCGGCUAAAAGUCGGAGGAAGGUGGGGAGUGACGUCAAAUCAUCAUGCCCCUUAUGACCUGGGCUACACACGUGCUACAAUGGGCGGUACAAAGGGUCGCGAACCCGCAGGGGGAGCCAAUCCCAAAAAGCCGCUCUCAGUUCGGAUUGCAGGCUGCAACUCGCCUGCAUGAAGCCGGAAUCGCUAGUAAUCGCGGAUCAGCAUGCCGCGGUGAAUACGUUCCCGGGCCUU